Molecule: ribosomal RNA, 466 nt
Filed under: uncultured bacterium
Lineage: Bacteria
Description: bacterial SSU rRNA
Rfam family: Bacterial small subunit ribosomal RNA
Source: RNAcentral
UCCAGACUCCUACGGGAGGCAGCAGUGAGGAAUAUUGGUCAAUGGCCGCAGGGCUGAACCAGCCAAGUCGCGUGAGGGAGGACGGCCCUACGGGUUGUAAACCUCUUUUGCCGGGGAGCAACGGGCGUCACGUGUGGCGCCACUGAGAGUACCCGGAGAAAAAGCAUCGGCUAACUCCGUGCCAGCAGCCGCGGUAAUACGGAGGAUGCGAGCGUUAUCCGGAUUUAUUGGGUUUAAGGGGGCGUAGGUGGAUUGUUAAGUCAGUUGUGAAAGUUUGCGGCUCAACCGUAAAAUUGCAGUUGAAACUGGCAGUCUUGAGUACAGUAGAGGUGGGCGGAAUUCGUGGUGUAGCGGUGAAAUGCUUAGAUAUCACGAAGAACUCCGAUUGCGAAGGCAGCUCACUGGACCGUAACUGACGUUGAGGCUCGAAAGCGUGGGGAGCAAACAGGAUUAGAUACCCUCGUAU